GAUGAUACCUUCAACUAAAAAAACCAAAUGUGCUCUCGUGUGGUCCUGACGGAAAAGUAGUAUCAACAAGAACCCUCCACUUUUUCGACCAAGUUAUCGUUAUGAGAUCCUUCUGAUGGCUUCUUACUAGGCUAUGCCGCUCCGAAGCAUUGAGAUGACGAAGCGUCGUGGUAGCUGCACCUCUGCCUUCGAAAGAUGAAUCAGUCAUUCCACACUGUGCUUACUGGCUUUGUAUAGAGUCUGGCAAAUCCGACAGACUUGGACUGCCUUUUUCAAGAAAGUUUGAAAUAGCAUCCCUUAUGCACCUG
Molecule: long non-coding RNA, 308 nt
Organism: Ornithodoros turicata
Lineage: Eukaryota; Metazoa; Arthropoda; Arachnida; Ixodida; Argasidae
Exons: 3
Source: RefSeq, a predicted model, not a curated record